UGUCUCUCCUAAUUUUAAUUAAUGAAUUCAUCUAUUCUUUCAUUUCGCAGUGACGGAUUAGAGGAUCCAUGUAUCAGAGAAUUUUCCAUCAUUUUGAGAAAUCGAAACACCCUUUCCCCUCGGAAAUUCAGUGCUUUGAGAGAGAGUACACGUGCCUGUUGGGGGACAGCACAGAGGAUGAAGGAGAGAGAGGAUCUUAAGCAGACUCCAUGCUCGGUGUGGAUGUGACGCAGGCACAAUCUCAUGACCCUGAGAUCAUGACCUGAGCUGAAAUCAAGAGUUGGAUGCUUAACUGACUGAGCCCCCAUGGUUCCCCUGGGACUUCUUGAUCACUUAAAAAUUAAAAAAAAAAUUAUUCUCUCUGUUCCUCUCUAUUGCCU
RNAcentral lists this long non-coding RNA (380 nucleotides) under Mustela putorius furo (domestic ferret). RNAcentral describes it as "lncRNA (ENSMPUG00000030832.1)". Lineage: Eukaryota; Metazoa; Chordata; Mammalia; Carnivora; Mustelidae. The record is from RNAcentral.